RNAcentral lists this ribosomal RNA (429 nucleotides) under Dysdera liostethus. RNAcentral describes it as "partial 16S ribosomal RNA". It matches the Rfam family "Bacterial large subunit ribosomal RNA", at positions 1817 to 2600 of the family's 2925-position model. The record is from RNAcentral. Lineage: Eukaryota; Metazoa; Arthropoda; Arachnida; Araneae; Dysderidae.
AGCUUUAUGUAAUUACUUAAAGUAACUCCUGCUCAGUGAAAAUAAACAGCCGCAGAAUUUUAUACUGUGCUAAGGUAGCAUAAUCACUUGUCUUUUAAUUAAAGAAUAGAAUGAACGGAAAAACGAAUUUUAGUCUGUUUCAUUUAUUUACAAUAAAAUUACCAAAAAGUAAAAACACUUUUUUUAAAAAAAAAGACGAUAAGACCCUAAAGAACUUAACUAAAGUUAAGCUGGGGCGGCUUUUUAAAAAAAUCUUAAUUAAUAUUUUUUACACCUUUUUAAAUUUUUCAAUGUUACCUUAGGGAUAACAGCAUAAUCUAAUUUUAUAGCUCUUAUUCAAAAUUAAGAUUAUGACCUCGAUGUUGAAUUAAAAUUCUUCUAACCGAAAAAAAUUAGUAAGAAAGUCUGNUCGACUAUUAAAUAUUUACA